AAUACAUCAAGAACCACAAAUGCAUUCCUUUGGAAGAUAUUGACGCUGAAUUUAAGCUACGAACUCAGGAUUGUAUCAAUCGGAUA
Olea europaea var. sylvestris is the source of this 86-nucleotide long non-coding RNA. RefSeq lists it as uncharacterized. NCBI's taxonomy places the organism in Eukaryota, Viridiplantae, Streptophyta, Magnoliopsida, Lamiales, Oleaceae. The record is from RefSeq and is a predicted model, not a curated record. The transcript has 3 exons.